GAUGAACGCUGGCGGCGUGCCUAAUACAUGCAAGUCGAGCGAACAGACGAGGAGCUUGCUCCUCUGACGUUAGCGGCGGACGGGUGAGUAACACGUGGAUAACCUACCUAUAAGACUGGGAUAACUUCGGGAAACCGGAGCUAAUACCGGAUAAUAUAUUGAACCGCAUGGUUCAAUAGUGAAAGACGGUUUUGCUGUCACUUAUAGAUGGAUCCGCGCCGCAUUAGCUAGUUGGUAAGGUAACGGCUUACCAAGGCGACGAUGCGUAGCCGACCUGAGAGGGUGAUCGGCCACACUGGAACUGAGACACGGCCCAGACUCCUACGGGAGGCAGCAGUAGGGAAUCUUCCGCAAUGGGCGAAAGCCUGACGGAGCAACGCCGCGUGGGUGAUGAAGGUCUUCGGAUCGUAAAACUCUGUUAUUAGGGAAGAACAAAUGUGUAAGUAACUAUGCACGUCUUGACGGUACCUAAUCAGAAAGCCACGGCUAACUACGUG
This 497-nucleotide ribosomal RNA is filed under the name uncultured bacterium. Its description in RNAcentral is "partial 16S ribosomal RNA". It matches the Rfam family "Bacterial small subunit ribosomal RNA", at positions 28 to 507 of the family's 1533-position model. The record is from RNAcentral.